This 1806-nucleotide long non-coding RNA is filed under the name Helianthus annuus (common sunflower). RNAcentral describes it as "hypothetical non coding rna". The record is from RNAcentral. Lineage: Eukaryota; Viridiplantae; Streptophyta; Magnoliopsida; Asterales; Asteraceae.
CCACAUUCAAUUUUACAAACCCUAAAUCUCAUCUACGGCUUCAAGGCUGAAACCUCACGGCGAUUGUAACCUUCAUCGCCCCUCUUUCAUUCUACAAUUCUCAUGCAGGAAAUCUGGAUUCAUAUUCGAAUCUCUUACAUCUAUCCCUACCGGCGCCGGAAUACGGCGAGACGAGACAUGUUUCCUUGAGGAAGAUAUGGAUUGAGAGACAAGGAGACGAAUCUGUAUAUGGAUGUCUUUGGUAGCAACGUCAUCGGUAAACGAAGGGGUUGCAGCAACGAUCGUCUAUUCGAUACGUGAUGCAACGCUAAAUAUUUCACAGUAAUGGCAAUUUUGUCACACACACUUUAUUAGAAACACAUAUCAAGAUCUUUAAUACCGAGUCAAAGUAAAUCUGGGUUCCAUGUUGAGAAUAUGAAUGGAUUUGCAGUAGCGUGCAUGAGGUUCUUCCACCCGCGUUGGAUUCCACUUCUUAGCCACUACCUCUAAUUGACAAAACCAGUAGACCUGGCUGUGGACCUUGAUGAAGGAGUUUGAGAGCACUUUGCCUUCUAGCACUUAGGAAGGAGGUUGCACUUUUCGACCCAUUUGACAAAACAGCUAUCCUUAUCCAGGAUAUUGGAUUCUUAUACCUUGGAAUUAUGGUUAAAGGUAAUGUACUCUUGCACUGUUUGAAUUUGAAUAUUUCUGUCAAAUGUUUCGUCGUGGGAUUCGGAGUUGAAGGAGUUUGAUUUGGAGAAUAGAUGGUAUUGGCAUGCAGUUUAAUGUAGUCAUUGAAAAAUAGGCGAUAUGAGAAAUUAGGUUGAUUCUGUAUUUCAGAUUGUGGUCACGAUUUAUAGUUGAAGUUUUUUUUUUUUUUUUUACUUUUUUGUGUAUUAGAACUUACUAUUUUGUUGAAAAUUAGACAAUCAUAUGUGUAUAUAUAUUGCAAAUUAAUUUGUUGGUAGGUACCAAAUAAUAUCCAGAUAUGAUAUUGAGUAGUCUGGUACAUAGAAACUAAAUAAAUGACAGGAGGUUGCACUUUUCGACCCAUUUGACAAAACAGGUUAUUCAUGCAUGUUUAAGCUAUUUGCCAAUCAAAGGAGAUCUUAUUGAGGCUAAAGGUGUUCACGAGCUACUUUGUUCAUUGGUCAAAAGACAAUUAGACAUGGAACUGCAGCGUCCCUACAAUCGAUAUGUGCAAUAAUUGUUUCUAUAUUUGAUAUAAAUAUUUGAGUAUUCUAUUAUAUCCAUGCCCUGUGAGCUGAGGGGGCUACUCUAUUGAUUACCAGCACUCAUGAUUGGGUGAAUAGUCGUAGACAGUAUGCUUUCACGCAAAUAAGUUCCACUCUAUCCUUAUCCAGGACAUUGGAUUCUUAUAGCUUGGAAUUAUGGUUAAAGUGGAAUUUGUUCUUCGUUCUUAAGUGAGAGGGUUUGAGUCAAAAAAAAAAACGAGUACUUUUGCAGGUUGGGUUGGAAUUCUCAGCACAUUCUCUAUUGGAUGGUGGAAUAUUGAAUAUACAAGAGAUGAAUAUGACAUGGUUGGAGAUACGAAUUGAGUAAAAGUCUUGCGGCAUGAUCUGUUUACAAAUGAUGCUCUACUUUGGCUUUAGUUUCAACAAUUUAAAAUGUGUGCUUGGCGGUAGUUAAAGACGGAAGAGAAUAUUAGAGGGAAAGUCAACCACAUGAAGAAAGGAAAGAUAUUAGCUUUGUUCGAGAAUUUAGUGAAAAUGGUGUAGAUGAAGAUGUGUACAACUUUAAAAUUUGAUUUUUUUAGCUAAUAAUGAAUACAUAUGUAAGUGUAAUCCUUUUAGCUAUUUAAUAUCU